UACGUAGGUGGCAAGCGUUGUCCGGAUUUACUGGGCGUAAAGAGCGCGCAGGCGGUCGUUCAAGUCGCGUGUGAAAGCCCCCGGCUCAACUGGGGAGGGUCACGCGAUACUGAUCGACUCGAAGGCAGGAGAGGGUAGUGGAAUUCCCGGUGUAGUGGUGAAAUGCGUAGAUAUCGGGAGGAACACCAGAGGCGAAGGCGGCGACCUGGACAAGUACUGACACUCAACUACGAAAGCGUGGGGAGCAAACAGG
This 253-nucleotide ribosomal RNA is filed under the name uncultured bacterium. Its description in RNAcentral is "partial 16S ribosomal RNA". It matches the Rfam family "Bacterial small subunit ribosomal RNA", at positions 524 to 776 of the family's 1533-position model. The record is from RNAcentral.